UACGUAGGGGGCAAGCGUUGUCCGGAAUCAUUGGGCGUAAAGAGCGUGUAGGCGGCUCGGUAAGUCCGCUCUGAAAGCCCGGGGCUCAACCCCGGGAGGCGGGCGGAUACUGUCGGGCUAGAGUCCGGAAGAGGCGAGUGGAAUUCCUGGUGUAGCGGUGAAAUGCGUAGAUAUCGGGAGGAACACCAGUGGCGAAGGCGGCGAUCUGGGAAGAUACUGACGCUGAGGUGCGAAAGCGUGGGGAGCAAACAGG
Molecule: ribosomal RNA, 253 nt
Filed under: uncultured bacterium
Lineage: Bacteria
Description: partial 16S ribosomal RNA
Rfam family: Bacterial small subunit ribosomal RNA
Source: RNAcentral